UCUGUGCCAAAACUUGUGGCUGUUAGCGUAAAUUAAUUUAGUAGUAAACUAAUAAGGAUAUGUCAGGGCUUCCAAGCCCAAUUCAAGGUGCUGUUCUUGACCUUUCAAGACCUUCAUGGCAUGGGACUGGGUUAUUUGAGGAACUGCUCUCCUUGAUUACAUCUGCCCACCCCAUCACAUCUGAAAUAAAUCUUAAACUGCUUUCUGUGAAGGAAAAUAAAAGUCUCAGGAAUCCUAUGACUGAUUACCAUCAGGAUAUGUUGAUAUCCAAUGAGACAGAGGAAGAACUUUAGGGGAAUUGUUUCCUGACUGGAGGAGCAAGAAGUCUCUCUGUUAUGCCUUGAUGGACUUAUUAAGGUACUAUUCUAUCGGCUCCUGCCUGAGUUUCUCUAGCUCUCCAACAGAGAAUGAAAGAGAAUGCAAGGUGUCAGUCACAAGACAAAUCCCAGGGACACUGAGGGGAAAAAAAAUGGAAAGAUUGCAUCUUCUAUCCACCUCCAUUUUUAUGCUGCAGGUGAUAAAGACAAAGAAGCAACUAAUAAAGGGCAGAGUUUUCACCUUUCUUCAAAAAUAGCAUGGAAGCCAUCUGGCUCAC
Molecule: long non-coding RNA, 595 nt
Organism: Crotalus tigris (Tiger rattlesnake)
Lineage: Eukaryota; Metazoa; Chordata; Lepidosauria; Squamata; Viperidae
Exons: 3
Source: RefSeq, a predicted model, not a curated record